GCAAAACGCGAAGAACCUUACCCACCUUUGACAUGUACGGAAUCCUUUAGAGAUAGAGGAGUGCUCGAAAGAGAGCCGUAACACAGGUGCUGCAUGGCUGUCGUCAGCUCGUGUCGUGAGAUGUUGGGUUAAGUCCCGCAACGAGCGCAACCCUUGCCAUUAGUUGCUACAUUUAGUUGAGCACUCUAAUGGGACUGCCGGUGACAAACCGGAGGAAGGUGGGGAUGACGUCAAGUCCUCAUGGCCCUUAUAGGUGGGGCUACACACGUCAUACAAUGGCUGGUACAAAGGGUUGCCAACCCGCGAGGGGGAGCUAAUCCCAUAAAGCCAGUCGUAGUCCGGAUCGCAGUCUGCAACUCGACUGCGUGAAGUCGGAAUCGCUAGUAAUCGUGGAUCAGAAUGUCACGGUGAAUACGUUCCCGGGUCUUGUACACACCG
This 438-nucleotide ribosomal RNA is filed under the name uncultured bacterium. RNAcentral describes it as "bacterial SSU rRNA". It matches the Rfam family "Bacterial small subunit ribosomal RNA", at positions 954 to 1392 of the family's 1533-position model. The record is from RNAcentral.